Molecule: ribosomal RNA, 501 nt
Filed under: uncultured bacterium
Lineage: Bacteria
Description: partial 16S ribosomal RNA
Rfam family: Bacterial small subunit ribosomal RNA
Source: RNAcentral
AUUGAACGCCGGCGGCAUGCCUUACACAUGCAAGUCGAACGGCAGCACGGGUGCUCGCACCUGGUGGCGAGUGGCGAACGGGUGAGUAAUAUAUCGGAACGUACCUUAUUGUGGGGGAUAACGCAGCGAAAGCUGUGCUAAUACCGCAUAAUCCCUAAGGGGGAAAGCGGGGGACCGUAAGGCCUCGCGCAAUUAGAGCGGCCGAUACCUGAUUAGCUAGUUGGUGAGGUAAAGGCUCACCAAGGCAACGAUCAGUAGCUGGUCUGAGAGGACGAUCAGCCACACUGGGACUGAGACACGGCCCAGACUCCUACGGGAGGCAGCAGUGGGGAAUUUUGGACAAUGGGGGCAACCCUGAUCCAGCAAUGCCGCGUGAGUGAAGAAGGCCUUCGGGUUGUAAAGCUCUUUUGUCAGGGAAGAAACAGCAGCUCUAACACAGUUUGCGAAUGACGGUACCUGAAGAAUAAGCACCGGCUAACUACGUGCCAGCAGCCGCAGUAA